This 210-nucleotide long non-coding RNA is filed under the name Elaeis guineensis (African oil palm). RNAcentral describes it as "long non-coding RNA (EGUI_LNC049875)". Lineage: Eukaryota; Viridiplantae; Streptophyta; Magnoliopsida; Arecales; Arecaceae. The record is from RNAcentral.
CAUCAACAAGGACCAUGCCGCUGAUUAGCAAGAGGAAGGGGAGGGCAUUCUCUGUUUUGGAAGAAGAAAAGAGAAGAACAGAGGCUUUUCUCUUCUCUCUUUCCUCUCUUUUUCUUUAUUCCUGAGUAUAAUUAAUUAAUUAUACUUUUCUCUCUUGUCUUUAAUUGUUGGGUUAAGUGGUUAGUUGAUAGGGAACACGAGAUUGGUGGG